UGGUCUAGCCAUGCGAGUCAUUGUAGCAUACAAGGCGGACGGCUCAGUAACACGUAGUCAACCUAACCCAUGGACGUGGAUAACCUCGGGAAACUGAGAAUAAACCGCGAUAGAUCAUUAUGCCUGGAACGGCUUAUGGUCCAAACAAUUUAUUGCCGUAGGAUGGGACUGCGGCCUAUCAGCUUGUUGGUGAGGUAAUGGCCCACCAAGGCUAUUACAGGUACGGGCUCUGAGAGGAGAAGCCCGGAGAUGGGUACUGAGACACGGACCCAGGCCCUAUGGGGCGCAGCAGGCGAGAAACCUUAGCAAUGUGCGAAAGCACGACUGGGUCAAUCCGAGUGAUUCCUGAUGAAGGAAAUCUUUUGUCAGUCCGUAAAAGCACAGGAUGAAUAAGGGGUGGGCAAGUCUGGUGUCAGCCGCCGCGGUAAUACCAGCACCUCGAGUGUCAGGACGGUUUAUUGGGCCUAAAGCAUCCGUAGCCGGCUUUGCAAGUCUCCGGUUAAAUCCAGCUGCUCAACAGAUGGGCUGCCGGAGAUACUACAUGGCUAGGGAGCGGGAGAAGUAGACGGUAUCGUGGGUAGGGGUAAAUCCACUGAUCCAUCGAGGACACCAGUGGCGAGGCGGUCUACAGAAGGUCACGUGAAGGAUGAAGCUGGGACAACCGAUAGAUACCGGUAGUCACGUACCAUGCAACUCGUGAUGCAU
RNAcentral lists this ribosomal RNA (705 nucleotides) under uncultured archaeon. Its description in RNAcentral is "bacterial SSU rRNA". It matches the Rfam family "Archaeal small subunit ribosomal RNA", at positions 39 to 779 of the family's 1478-position model. The record is from RNAcentral.